RNAcentral lists this unclassified non-coding RNA (2765 nucleotides) under Penaeus japonicus. RNAcentral's name for it is "tRPM8 channel-associated factor homolog, transcript variant X4". The record is from RNAcentral. Lineage: Eukaryota; Metazoa; Arthropoda; Malacostraca; Decapoda; Penaeidae.
GUCGGUCUUAUCGGUUCGCUAGCUAUCACUUGUCAUCAGAUAAAAGAGUAUAUAAAGCACGUAUUAUUGAUGUCCAUUCUUAUAAAACUGUGAACAGAAUCCACCAUGACAGGUAAGGGUGAAACACCUCCUUCAAGGUUAGGAGACGGAGAGGCUGUUUAUCUCGUCAACCAGAGCUCAAACACCUGCCUCAGCGUCACAGCUGGCUCGAGCCCUGACGAUGCCGUGGUCGCCAUGGCGCCCUGCGCCGGCGACCGGAGCCAGCAGUGGCUUCGGGUCGGCGGCCAGUGGCUCUGGGCAGCCAAUGACACCUUCUGCUUGGUGCCAGUCGACGGCACCAACGACGUAGGUCUGGGCGACGCCAACACUUCCUCGGUGUCUUGGAGUUAUGACGAAGCCAGCAGGAUAGUCGUGGGAUCGGACGCCCUGGACGUGCCCUUGGAGGAGCCCAGAACGAGGGUCAUCUUGUCUCCUGCCAAUGAUGACGUCACACAGAAGUGGAUGAUUGACCUCGUGUCACCAGACGAACCAGAAUAUCUCAUCAACCAGAGCAGUAAAACAUGCCUUGGAGUGCGACACGGAUCGACACCGAGUGACGCAUAUGUUGGCAUGCUUAACGGCAAUGGAAUCAAGAACCAACAAUGGUUCUCUGUGGGUGAUUCGUGGCAGUGGGGAGGCAACCGCUUUUACUGCCUCGCCCCUGACUACGAUAACCGAACCGUGAUCCUGGAGGACACCAGUACCUCCACUUCGAUAUGGUACAUGGACGAUGCACACAGAUUGAGAAUCGGAGAAUAUGCUAUCGACGUUCCUCAAACAGCCCCAAGAACACGAGUGGGAUUGUUCAAAGCAAGUGACGCUAUACAUCAAAAAUGGUGGAGGUUCUCUGAUAUAAAGGCUUCACUCGAAGGCACAGAACCACCUGUGUAUCCUUUCCCUGGAAGCGACGAAACCACCUAUAACCAAGAAAUAUACAGAGGUUUAGUAAACUCACUCAUUCCUAAAACUGAACCUUUACCACACCCUCGUGACACACCUACUUUCCCCGGAACAGUUGAUCCUAAAACACCUCGGGUAACAAGAAAGGUCACAUUAGACCUUUCUGUUCUCGGUCAGAAUAGGAAUUUCCGAAUGACAGUUCCCAAAGAUUGGCAGGCCACAGAUCUGUAUGUGGCAGAAGGUGACAUUUGCCAAAUCAUUCUACCAGAAAGUUUGACAACUGAGCAAGCAUUGCAGAUCACAGUCCAGAUUGGUGCACACACUGACAAACUUAAUCCACACUCAUCCAACAUUCAGAAUAAGAAAUACAAGCGAAUGCCAAUCGUGUCAGAAGGAUUCGACGUUUUCCCGGGCGUUAAUGAAGUUCGCAGUCAGUAUGGAGGAAACUUGAUAUUCAUUUUCUCCGAGGGGGAAAAUUUUACAGUUGACGUUGAUGUCAAGAAUGUGGUUGAAGCCCCAUUCUUCCAGUAUGGCGUGACUUCUGCUGAGAACUGGGAAACUGUUAAGAUGCGAGAUGCACCUCAUGCAAUACUGGAGUCAGACAAGUGUGUCGUCGUUGUGCCUUCAUCAGCAGCUCGAGAACUCACGAAUCCUGAUGACCUGAUGGCACGCUACGAUGAAGUUCUCGCCAUGGAGAGUUACGCAGCAGGUUUUGAUGAGACAGAAAUUCCUCCACGCGGAAAAUAUUGGCUGGUGGAUGAUCUUCAGAUUGGUGCUGGAAGUGCCCAUUCUGGGUUUCCAGUUAUGUUCACCCGUGGUUAUUAUAAUCUAGCUAAUCUCGACAUCCCUUAUGACUGGGUAGUUUGGCAUGAAGUAGGUCACAAUCACCAGCAAGGUCCUUUCUGGAGUAAAGCAUAUGGAAGUGAGUCAACUGUUAACCUGUUUUCCCUGUACAUUCAGGAACAGCUGUUUAAUGCUGAUAGGUUGGAAGACAUGAAUUCCUACGUCACCGCUGCUGACAAGGUUGACGGUGGAAUGACCUUCGAUGAGGGAGACGUAUGGGAUAAGCUGGUGUUCCUGAUGGAGAUCAAACACGCUUUCCCAGAGGGAUGGGAGAUGUUCCGCCAGCUCUACCGAACGACUCGAGAUCUUUCCGAUGACGAGGCAAAUUACAUCACCAAAGACCAUCAGCACCAGAUCGACCAUGCGUACAAGAAUCUCAGCAAAAGUGUAGGUUACGACCUGGUUCUGACUUAUGACCGAUGGGGCCUCCCGCUCAGCGAGGAGGCGAAGGAGGAGAUUCAGCAACUAGGACUCGAGAAGGCUCCGGGGGACCUCUCUCACAGACCUCCUUACAGCAGGAAAUAAGGCCAUUGUUAUCCCUGGUCAUUAGAAACUAUUUAAAGACCAUUUCAGUCAUAGUUAUGAUCCUUAAAAAUGUGCACGAUUUCCCGCACAUUACAGUAUGUGUGUGUGUGUGUGCGCGCGCGCGCGCCGUCAGAUUAGAGAAUUGUAAGAUGAAAUUAACUCGCAAAACACAUCAUAAUUAGUAACAUCGAAUAUUGUUCACGAUAUAUGCUGUACCUCACUAGUUUCACAUGUAAUAUACAAAGAGGUCAAAGAGAAAAAGGGAAGAUAAAGAAUGAACAAGACGUGAAUGAUUGUCACGCAUAGUUGUCAUAUCGUCAUUCCUCAAUAAGAACGAGUUUGUGAAUAAAUUAGUAUCCUUGAUCAGCGCCACAGCCUGGUCCUUCUACCACGUUGUUCCAUUAAAAAAAAAGAAACAAUAGUAUCGAAGUAUGAUUUGAAAAUAAGAUCAUGAAAUA